RNAcentral lists this ribosomal RNA (468 nucleotides) under uncultured bacterium. RNAcentral's name for it is "partial 16S ribosomal RNA". It matches the Rfam family "Bacterial small subunit ribosomal RNA", at positions 28 to 507 of the family's 1533-position model. The record is from RNAcentral.
GACGAACGCUGGCGGCGUGCUUAACACAUGCAAGUCGAACGGAAAGGCCCUGCUUUUGUGGGGUGCUCGAGUGGCGAACGGGUGAGUAACACGUGAGUAACCUGCCCUUGACUUUGGGAUAACUUCAGGAAACUGGGGCUAAUACCGGAUAGGAGCUCCUGCUGCAUGGUGGGGGUUGGAAAGUUUCGGCGGUUGGGGAUGGACUCGCGGCUUAUCAGCUUGUUGGUGGGGUAGUGGCUUACCAAGGCUUUGACGGGUAGCCGGCCUGAGAGGGUGACCGGCCACAUGGGGACUGAGAUACGGCCCAGACUCCUACGGGAGGCAGCAGUGGGGAAUAUUGCACAAUGGGCGGAAGCCUGAUGCAGCAACGCCGCGUGCGGGAUGACGGCCUUCGGGUGGUAAACCGCUUUCGCCUGUGACGAAGCGGGAGUGACGGUAAUGGGUAAAGAAGCACCGGCUAACUACGUG